Molecule: ribosomal RNA, 372 nt
Filed under: uncultured organism
Description: bacterial SSU rRNA
Rfam family: Bacterial small subunit ribosomal RNA
Source: RNAcentral
CGUAGGGUGCAAGCGUUAAUCGGAAUUACUGGGCGUAAAGGGUGCGCAGGCGGCUCCGCAUGUCAGGCGUGAAAUCCCCGGGCUUAACCUGGGAAUGGCGCUUGAAACUACGGGGCUCGAGUAUGGCAGAGGGAGGUGGAAUUCCACGUGUAGCGGUGAAAUGCGUAGAGAUGUGGAGGAACACCGAUGGCGAAGGCAGCCUCCUGGGCCAAUACUGACGCUCAUGCACGAAAGCGUGGGGAGCAAACAGGAUUAGAUACCCUGGUAGUCCACGCCCUAAACGAUGAUGACUAGUUGUUGGGGGAGUUAAAUCCUUUAGUAACGCAGCUAACGCGAGAAGUCAUCCGCCUGGGGAGUACGGUCGCAAGAUUA